CCGCUUGCUCACGCUACAGUGGGGAGCCGCGCCGGCCCGGGACACCCCCCCGCCCCGCGCUACCUUCCCCCCAUAUAAAGCGAUACAAUGUUGCCUUUUAUGGCGAGGACGCUCCUUAUAUGGUGAGAGCCGGCGCUUUGCAUCUAUUGGCCAUCCCCUAGCAGGACCCGCACGCCGUUGGCUGGAGAGGGCCCAGGUCGGCGGCCCAUUGGCCAGAGGGAUAAGGGCUGAUUUGCAUACAUUCCAAAAGAGCUGCGUUCGCGACGACGUCAGCCGGAGGCGCAGCUCUUAAAGGGAAAGAGCCCUCUGAAGGAGUAGCUUUUGAAUGUUGCGACCGGAGCGGGAGGGAGGAGACGCAGAGCGGCGAGUGAAGCUUUAGCAGAAGAACAGAUGGGUAGACAGGAGAAAUUAUCGCAGCAGGGCCCACCAGCUGGGGAGUGGGGCAGCUUGAUUCCCCCCCCGCAUGUUUACUUGGAAGUAAACCGCACCAAGUUCAGUGGAACUGGCUUAAGGAUGCAUAGGGUUUGCGGACCUGCAUGUACACAGAAGACUAAUAAGUCGCAGGAAAAGGGUGCAUCCCAUACGUUCAAAAUUUGACUCAGGGAGUCAAGAAGCAGCAUCUUCUCGAAGAGAGUCGGAGCUCUGCAACAAAUCAGGGGCUAUACUGGUGUCACAACCGGUCACUGAGGACUGAGACCUCCCCUCAUCCAAACCACUUUUGAUUAUCGAAAAGUGUGCUUCUUGUUUAGGAAAAGAAUAAUAAAGAUGCAAACGAAAAAAGAAAAAGGAAAGGAAAUCUGAACACACUUUCUUUCGGAGAUGUACUUGUAAUUGUGAGAACCAUGAGUUUAGGAGGGGAAAGUAUGUUCCAAUCCGUUGAGGGGUAGGGCUUUUUGGGAUGGAAUCAAUACUGUGUUAAAUGGCAAACAUGGCCUUAUUUAGCUUGCUUUGAGGGGGGAAUCUCCUCCUCCUUGGCUCUGUAACAUCAGACUACCAGACUUUGAUUUAUUGAAAACCUUGGUUACAGGCCCAUAACUCAUAUGCAUGCCUGCAUGCUUGACUUUCAGCAUUUGCAACUGUAUUUUUGGUUUGUUUUUGUUUUUAGGAUUGUAAGCUGAGAUUCAGCAUGUCCUUUUCUAAAGUUAUGACAGUAGUAAAAGACUGGCCUUAACAAGA
Molecule: long non-coding RNA, 1176 nt
Organism: Hemicordylus capensis (graceful crag lizard)
Lineage: Eukaryota; Metazoa; Chordata; Lepidosauria; Squamata; Cordylidae
Exons: 2
Source: RefSeq, a predicted model, not a curated record